This 480-nucleotide ribosomal RNA is filed under the name uncultured bacterium. RNAcentral describes it as "partial 16S ribosomal RNA". It matches the Rfam family "Bacterial small subunit ribosomal RNA", at positions 28 to 523 of the family's 1533-position model. The record is from RNAcentral.
GACGAACGCUGGCGGCGUGCCUAACACAUGCAAGUCGAGCGAGUGAAUUUCCUUCGGGAUUGAAGCUAGCGGCGGACGGGUGAGUAACACGUGGGCAACCUGCCUCAUAGAGGGGAAUAGCCUUUCGAAAGGAAGAUUAAUACCGCAUAAGAUUGUAGCUUCGCAUGAAGUAGCAAUUAAAGGAGCAAUCCGCUAUGAGAUGGGCCCGCGGCGCAUUAGGUAGUUGGUGAGGUAACGGCUCACCAAGGCGACGAUGCGUAGCCGACCUGAGAGGGUGAUCGGCCACAUUGGAGCUGAGACACGGCCCAGACUCCUACGGGAGGCAGCAUUGGGGAAUAUUGAACAAUGGGGGAAACCCUGAUGCAGCAACGCCGCGUGAGUGAUGACGGCCUUCGGGUUGUAAAGCUCUGUCUUCAGGGACGAUAAUGACGGUACCUGAGGAGGAAGCCACGGCUAACUACGUGCCAGCCGCCGCAGUAA